UUGAGGACAGAUAUUUAGACUGAUGUUUUGGUAGAUGAACUAACUAUACCGGAGCAAGCUAUUUCUCUAGCCCAUAAGUAUGAGAAAAAAUAUUUGGUAGCCAAGGGAAAUAAUACAUAAUUUUCUUACUCCAAACAACCUCCUCUUUUACCUACUCAUUCUACUUCUAACCCGCCAUUGCUGCCAACUCCUCCUUCCACAUUAGCCUUACAACCACCACCUUUUUCCUCCACUUCGACCUUUAAAAUUCCACCGAAACGCUUAACCCCAGCAGAAAUUUAACAACGGCAUGAAAAAGCAUGUGCUAUUAUUGCGAUGAGAAAUACUCAGCCUCUCACAAGUGCAAAAAAUUUCCUCAAUUGUUACUUAUAGAGGAUGACUCCAAUGAUUGAGUUCCUGAAUCCUUUAUCCCUGGCGAUAUGCUGGUAGAUGAAUUGCAGUCUCUUGAGGUAAAAUCUCAUUCUACAAUUUCAUAUUAUGAUCUAGCAGGUGGUAAUUCUCUGACUAUAUUGUAUUUUACUAGACAUGUUAAUAGAUCUUCAGUACAGGUUCUCUUGGACAGAGGGAGCACCAAUGAUUUUAUUCGGCCUCGAGUUGCUAAGUUUUUGAACCUAAUAGUUGAUCGCACUUCUAAUUUUCCAGUUGUGGUGGGUAGUGGUCAAUGACUCAAAUGUGAAGGUGUGACUCGAGCGGUUAACCUCACCAUUCAAGGUUGCACCCUUACUUUAGAUCUGUAUGUGCUCUCUAUGCAUGGUUCAGAUAUUGUUUUGGGAGUUUCAUGGUUGGCUACUCUAGGACUGGUGGUUACUGAUUAUAGUCAACGCACAUUUGAAUUCUCUUUACAUAAUACUAGACAUAGUUGGGUGGGGAACCCUCCUAUUGAUGUUCAACUUCAAGGAUUAUGACGUUUAACUUCAGUGGAUGCGAUUGCUUUAUUCUAUCGGCUUGAGGUAAUUCAUGACUCAAGUCCUUCUUGAAAUACUUACCCCUCUGAUCUUACUGCAGUUAUGUUCGAGUAUCAGGAUGUGUUUUGCAAGACCAUGAUCUUCCCCCAUCGCGUGACCAAGACCAUGCUAUACAUCUACAUCCUAACUUUGAGCCUGUGAAUGUCAAACCUUAUCGUUAUCGCUAUUUUCAAAAACAAAUCAUGGAAGAUUUGGUGGCUUAGAUGUUGAAAGAAGGUAUCAUCAGGCAAAGCACCAGUCCCUUUUCUUUCCCAGUGCUAUUGGUUCGGAAGAAAAAUUAUACAUGCAGUUUCUAUGUUGAUUAUCGGGACUUUAAUUCCAUCACAAUGAGUGAUCUCUUUCCCAUUCCUACCAUUUAUGAAUUAUUUGAUGAACUGAAUGGUGUCACAUAUUUUUCGAAACUGGAUUUACUAUCUGGCUAUCAUCAUAUUCGAAUUCGCCCUGACGAUAUUCCGAAAACAAUAUUCUGAACACAUGAAGGGCAUUACGAAUUUUUUGUCAUGCCAUUUGGGUUGUCUAAUGCUCCCUCUACCUUUCAGGUAACUAUGAACUUGGUAUUUAAACCGUAUCUCAGGAAAUUGCUCAUAGUUCUUUUUUGUGAUAUCUUGGUUUAUAGUGGUACAUGGGAAAACCAUCUGGAACACCUAGCAGUUGUUCUUCGUCUACUGCGGGAGAAUAAGUUAGUCGCCAAACAAUCCAAAUGUCUACUUGGACUUUAGAGGAUUGAUUACUUGGGCCAUGUCAUAUCUUCUCAAGGAUUGGCUGUAGACCUGGCCAAAAUUGAGGUGAUUAAGAAUUGACCAGUUCCAAGGUCUAUCAAAGAAGUGCGUAGUUUCUUGGGUCUCGUUGGGUAUCACCAAUGUUUCAUUCAUCAAUAUGCACAGUGGAUGGUCCAUUAACGGAUUUAUUUAAAAAGGAUGCCUUUGGUUGGACUGAACGACAACAACAUGCAUUUGAGGCGGCCUUGAAAAGUGCCCUUGAAUCUGCUCCAGUCUUAUCUUUGCCCGAUUUCUCUAAAGAAUUUUAUGUGGAAACAUAUUCUUUACGUAUUGGGGUUGGUGCAGUAUUAUCACAACAAGGCUACUCAAUUGCCUAUUUAGUCAAAAGUUAUGUCAUCGUAUACAGAAAGCCUCAUCUUACUAGAAUAAUAUGUUAGCAAUCACACAGGUUGUUAGUAAAUGGCAUCAGUAUUUGUUGGGUCGCCAUUUUGUCAUUCACACAGAUCAACAUCCCCUUAAGAAUUUAACAAAACAUGUUAUUCAGACCCCUGAGCAACAAAAAUGGUUGACUAAAUUGGUUGGUUAUGAUUUUACCAUUUUGUACGAGCCUGGAAAGACCAAUUUAGUAGCUGAUGCUUUAUCUCGGACCCCUGCAGCUUCCUUUCAUGCCAUUUCUAGCUGCACCUUUGAUUUAAUAGCUAAUUUGCGGCAAGAAAAUGUGAAUCAUAAUGAGUUGUUGGCUUGGAAAUAGAGUAUUCAUGAGGAAGCGGAGACUCCUUCCCCUUUCCUCUUUAAAGAUAGUCUUCCUUUGUAUAACGGUAGAUUGGUUAUUCCAUCCGAUUCCCCUCUUCACGUUGAAUUGCUCAAGUAGUUUCAUUCUUCGCUGGUUGGUGGUCACGCUGGGAUAUCCGAAACUUUCCAAAGAGUAGUUUUUUUUAUUGGAAGGGUUUAAGACAAGAUGUCAAAACCUUUGUUGCUUUUUGCCAGACCUGCCAGGAGAUGAAAGACAUUCUUAAACAUCCAACAUGUCUUCUCCAACCAUUACCUGUUCUAGAUUUGGUUUUCGAGGAGGUCAUAAUGGAUUUUAUCACGUCUCUUCCCAGCUCGAAGGGUAAAUCUACUAUUCUUACCAUUGUGGAUCGUCUUUCUAAAUAUUGUCAUUGUAUUGCCCUGUCGGCCACUUUCACUGCCUAUAUUGUAGCUGCGACCUUUGUUUCAGAAAUCAUUCGACUUCAUGGCCACCCUAAAAUUAUUCUCACUGACUGAGACCCAAGGUUCAUAAAUAUAUUUUGGAAGGAAAUCCACAAAAUACAAGGUACUACUCUCUCCAUGAGCACGGCCUAUCACCCACAAACUGAUGGCCAAUCAGAAGCAUUGAUCGUUGCUUUGUGGCUGAUACCCCACAUGAGUGGGCACCAUUAUUACCUUGGAUCGAAUUUUGGUACAAUACUUCCUAUCAGACCGUUGUUUCUAUGACCCAUUUCCAAGCUUUGUAUGGCAGAGAACCGCCCAUCAUAGCUCGGUAUGUGCUUGGCACUUCUUCCAAAGAAUUGGUAGAAUGUUACAUGAUUCAAAGGGAAGAAGUUAUGGAUUUGUUGAAGCAUAACUUAAUCAAAGGCCCAACAACGUAUGAAGGAAUAUGUAGAUAAGAAGUAUCAAAAUGUUGAAUUUGCAAUUGGAGAUUGGGUAUAUGUUAAGCUAAAAUCUUCCAUGCUGCAGUCUCUUCGCUUACAGCGAUAUCAUAAGUUGGGAACGCAUUACUUUGGUUUAUUUAAAGUUAUCAGAUGAAUUGGGGAUGUUGCUUACAAGCUUGAAUUACCAAAGGAUGCUCAUAUUCACCCUGUGUUUCAUGUCUCUAAGCUGCGUUGCUGUGUUGGAAAUUCAGAUAUGCAUGACUAUAACGACCCGAUCGGUCGUUUUGAGCACUUGAAUUUCGUUCAGCCAUUUGAAGUCUUGAGUAGCUUCAUAUGAUGUAUUAUGACUUGUGUGAAUCGUCGGUUUUGGUUUCAGGUUAAUCGGAAUUGACUCGGGAGAAAGAUUCUCAACUAGGACGCUCUAAGUUGGAAUAGUUGACCAAGUUUGACAUUUGAGUAUUUGACCUCGGAUCGGAGUUUUGAUGGUUCCGUUAGGUCUGGAUGAUAAUUUUGGACUUGGGCGUAUGCCCGGAUUUGCAUUUGGAUGUUCCUAGAAGGUUUCGGCACUAUUUGGCGAAAGUUGGCAAUUUGAAGGUUUGGAAUAUUUAUAUGUUUGACCGAGAGUUGACUUUGAUGAUAUAAUGUUUGGAUUUUUGUUUCGGGAAUUGGAAUAGCUUCGUUAUGUCAUUUGGGACUUGUGUGCAAAAUUGGAGUUCAUUUCGAGUUGAUUUGAUAAGGUUCGACACGAGUUUUGAAAGUUGAAAGAUUCAAAGUUCAUUAAGUUCGAUUUGAGGCACGAUUCGUGAUUUUGAUGUUAAUAUGUGUGAUUUGAGACCUUGAGUAGGUCCGUAAUAUAUUUUGAGACUUAUUGAGGGACUCGGGUGAGUUUCGGGGUGGUUUCAGACCAUUUCUAGGCCAUUUUUAAGUGUUGGUUUUUAGCUACAGCAGUGUGCAUCGCGAUCGUGGACUUUGGGUCGCGUUCGCGAAGAGAAAAAUGGGAGAAAGGUGCCUGUGAAUCGCGUUCGCAGAGUGAUCUUCGCGUUUGGGAAGAAGAAAUUAUGUUGUCACUGAUCCAACUUUAAAAGCUUAUAUCGUGCAAUAUAUAAGGAAUUUGGAGAUGAUCCAAAAACAAAAGUUGUAGCCCUUGGUUCUAGUUUUAAGAAAAAUUGAACCAUUUGUCAUUUGGAGUUUUGUAAAAAAUGUUAUGGCUAUUAUACUAGAGGCUAUCUGGAAAAGUUAGGCAAGCUUGUUGGAGUUUGUUCAUCGCGAUCGUGGGGGAAUGGUCGCGAUCGUGAAUAGUAAAAGUUGAGCUGGAAUUUUUUUUGAAUCGCGAUAGCGAUGUUGGAGACCGCGAUCACGAAGAGAGACUCCUGGAAGUGCAUUAAAACAUCAAAUUUUGGUAUUUUGAGUUCAUUUUAUCAUAUUUUGAGCUAUAAAGCUCGGAUUGAGGUGAUUUUCACCACAUGAAAUGGGGUAAGUAUUAUCUACUCGGUAUUGAUUUUAUUCCGUGAUUCCAUCUUCGUUUUUGGCACUUGGUUGAUGAUUUCAAAAGAGAAAUUGGGGAGUUUUGUCUAAAAUUUUAUAAACUGAAUUUUUGAGUUUUGAACAUCGAUUCGGAGUCAGAUUUGAAUAAAAUUUGUAUGAUUGGACUCGUAAUUGAAUGGGUUAUCGGAUUUUAUGAGUUUUGUCGGGUUCAGAGGUACGGGCCCAAGUUUGAUGUUUUGGUUGACUUUGGGCUUUUGAUUAUAGAUUCGACCUUUAUCAAUUGGGUUUGCUUCCAUAGGCAUUAUUUGAUGUAUUUGAGUUGCUUUUGGCUAGUUUCGAGCCGUUCGGAGGUUGAUGCACGCGAGAUGGCAUUUCUAAAGUAUUGUUCGGCUUGCUCGGUAUUGGAUUUGGCUUGUUCGAGGCAAGUAACAUAUUUGAACUUGGAUUUGAGGGUAUUUAACCCUAGGAACUGUGUUAUAAGAGAUGUAUUAAAGUGACGCACAUGGUAGGUGACGAGCGUGUGGGCGUGCACCGAGCAAAUCAUGAUUUUAGUCAACUAUUAGACUAUGACCGGACUUGUUUUGCUAUUAUAUCCUGUUACCUCCAUGUUCUCUCUUCUUGUUUGAUUAUAUGUUCUGUGAAUCAUGUUAGAAAUCAUGUUUACGCUAUAUGCUUGCUCUAUUGAGACCCACCGAGGUUAUUUAUGCUAUUGAGUUAUUUGCUUACAUUGUAAUUAGACACUCAGUCAUAUUCAUUCAUUUGCAUAUCAUAUCUCAGUCUCUAUUAUCAAUUUUUCAUUGUUUGGGCUGAGUGGCAUGAGAUUUGUGAGCCCGAGAGACUGGAGAGAUUGAUGACUGUGACGAUGAGGGCCUGAUUAUGAGUGAUGAUUAUGGGAUCGGGUUGCACGCGACAACAGAUUUAUUGAUUCAUGGUGGGAUCAGGCUACACGUGGAAGCAGGCUUUAUUGAUUCAUGAUGGGAUCGGGGUGCACGCCGCAUCAUGUCAUGGCGCUUGGGCAGGAUCUGCCACUCCGGAGUCUGACAUACCAGCAAUGAGCGUAGGUACGGAUGAGUGCGAGUGCCGAGUGAUUGAGAGUGCUGAGUGAUUGGGAGGUGCUGAGUGAUUGAGAGUAUUGAGUGAUUGGAAGGUGCUGAGUGAUUGAGCGUGCUAAGUGAGGUCGAAUACUCCGAGAGCAUGAGUACAUGAGUUUAUCACUGUGGUGCAUUACAUUUGACAUGCAUACUUGGCAUGUAGGCAUAGAGAUGCAUUUCCUCAUGCUAUACAAUAUUGUGACAUUUAUGACUUCUCUCAUACAUAUUGACAUGUAGGCAUAGAGAUAUACUUUUCUCAUGCUAUCUCAUAAUGGAGCAUCUUAUCUGUUGCUAAAGGUUUUUGGGAAAAAUCACUGUUUUUCUGACAUACUCACAUUUUGGUGACUUCGGUGAAAGAUUUGGGUUUUACUGUUACUCUUGAAAAACAUUCCUAUUUUUCGUAACUAUGAACGAUCUAAGCAUUAUAUCUUUGACUAUUACUUGUACUAUUUCAUUAUAUUGUUAUGAGUUGUUCUUGGCUGUUGGUGUUGGACUCUUACCGUUGUCCAAGCUCGUCACUGCUUACAACCUAAAGUUAGGUUUGUUACUUAUUGAGUAUAUGGGGUCGAUUGUACUCAUACUACACUUCUUCACCUUACGUGCAGAUUUUGGAGCUGAUGUUGUUGUGCAUGGGGGAGUUGGCAUUGAAGAUGUACCCGCACUCCAGUUGUAGCUGCCUCUUGUUCAUGGUAGCUUUAGAUUUAUAAAAAUCAAUAUGCGUACAUUUCAAAUAGAUGAUGUAUUUAUUUCAUACAAGUUUUGUAAACUCUAAAUCUUAGAAGCUCAUGAUUUGUACUACCAAUCCUUGGGGAUCUUUUUUAUAAAAGUUCAGUUAUUUCAUCAUUUAUUUUCUCAGUAGAUCUCCUUGAGUUGGAUAAUUGAUAAAUUGGCUUACCUAGCGGGUUGGGUUAGGUGCCAUCACGAAUAGUUGGAUUUUGGGUCGUGACAAGUUGGUAUCAGAGCUCUAGGUUCAUAGGUUCUACUAGUCAUGAGCAAAUAUCUAGUACAGUCUUGUGGAUCAGUAUGAUGACGUCCAUGCCUAUCUUCGAGAGGCUGCGGGGCAUUUAGGAUAAACUUCCCAUCUUUCAUUACUUAUCGUGCGACAUUAAUUCAGCUUGAAGCAUAUCCCUUUGAAUUCCUUCCACUCAAUCGUAUGUUAUGUGAGCGUUCGAUAUUAGCGGUGCAUCGACGACUUGCGAUUCUAUGGAUGAGGUGCGAGAUGCGUCUUCUGUAUUUUUGUGAUGGGCCAGUCUAGAGGACUUGUCGACAGGUUUAGAUCGCAGCUUAGGCUCACCAAUUUCAGUUGUGUGAGCAUGCGCUUUUGGACUUAUAUGUCCGGUAGUAUCCAUAUGAGUAGAAUUUAUGGCUCGGUGAGUGGUUGGAUAGGUAUAUGAUGAGUAUGAUGUGACUGCGGGAUAUGUUCAGAUGGUUUGAAUGUGACGAGAAAAGUUUGCUUGAGAUGUGAAAAGGACUAUUGGGUGCUUGAUUUCUAUCUUGAUGUGUUGUACAGUCUCGAGUUAUGAUCAUGUUGAGGGAUCUUUCAUGUCGUUAUUUUUGGAACGAAGUAGAUUCGCAUGUCUUGUGGAUGAGUUUAGACUCAGGAACAUUAAGUGAUUGCAUAGUAAUGGUGUCUAUGAAAGGGUAUAGAUAGAUUUCAGUUUGAGGCUAAGCAGGUGGGUUAUCACCUACGGGGUAAUCUACAGAUGUGUGAUCCUUAUGAUGAUUGUGUGGAGAGUUUUCUACCUGCGGGUUAUAUGUGUUGCAAUUUGAGUAUGGAACGGUUGCGAAAGUUGACUUGACUGUCACGAGGAUGAAUGCGAGCUUCGCAGAUAAUUUGAGGUAUUUUACGAUUUGUGUUGCAUGAGCUUAUGAAUGAUUUAGUUGGAUUUCAGUGCGGGAUUAUGACAGUAAUAGAGUAUGGGUAUUUUGCAUUACCAGAUGUUUUAUUCAGUGGCUUAGCCAAGUGGGGGAGUCUACCAUCAACAAUUUGAUUUUAUGGUUAUGUGUUGUAUUGGUUUCGGUGUGAGGUAUACUUGUGAAUCAGUUAUGACUUGCAACGGUUGAGAUCGAGGAUGACUCGAGUGAGGAAAUUUUUGAAUACGGGAUAUAUUACACUUUAUAGGCAUAUGGAAAUCAUGGGAUGAUUUGAGUUUGUUAUUCGUGACGGAUUGUAGUAUGCAUGGAGUAGGGAUUCACUCGGUUGAUUAGAGGUGUGGAUUACUUCUUUGGGUGUUGGUGUGCUAAUGAGCACAUGUCGUUCGUCUCGUUUGGGCGGCGCAUUUGAGAUUGGAUAGGGUGGAGGACCCUCGAGGAGGUUCUAAUGGGUUCAAGAUUCAUAUGUGGCAUUUGAGAAUUUUCCGGAUUUGUAUAUGGCUAAGAUCCGAGACUUGCAUUGGAUAGUGGAGGGACUUGUAGUUCUUCUGUAUCAUUAUGGAUCCUACACUUUAGUGUCAGAAAGGUAAAGGAAAGAAUUUUAGAUUCACAUAAGGUUUCUUUAUAGUGGGUAUCUCAGAUGUCGUACUUUGAGUGUUUAAAUGGGAAUACAGUAGCUUAUGGGAUUUAGGGAGACGUGGUUUCAUGCUAGGGUCUCGUGUGGUGAGUUUUGGUUGAGGAUCGUGGUAUUAUGGCGAGGAGAAGUGUCAACUUGAAGGCAAUUCAGAAGAAACUUGGAGGAAAUAGGACAACUUGGCAGUAGGUUAGAUUAGUAUGGUAAUGGUAUGCUCAGUUCGUUUGGUUCUUGCGAUGAGGUGAGGCUUUACAGGUAUUUUAUGGCAACACUCUUGGAUUUGGCGACCUUUGUGGCUUGGUUGAGUUAGAGAAAUUCAGUUCUGAUAGCUUGGUUAUGUGCAGAUGGAUUUCAAAGUGUUCUCAAUGGUUUUUACCACGGUUUGAGAUGGAUAUUUCCUACUGGCAUGAGGAGUAUGUUGCGUAUUGUGAUUUUCUACUGGAUGAGAUCAUGUGAAAGGGUCCUGGCUAAUUACGUAUGUAGUCUUCUUGUGACUUAGAGUUGAUAAUGAGGUUCUCGUAUUUUCAUAUGAUGGCCUAAUAGAGGCAGUGCGUGGUGUGAGAUUGGGAUUUGCAUGUGCAAGUAUACGAUUCGGUUUCAAAAGGAAGGUCAUGAGUUUAUGCAGCAUAGACGAUUUCAGAUGGUGAGAAAAACUGUUGGCACUAUUUGGUAUUACCUGAGAAGAGUGUACAUUCAGAAGUGCGCACUGAGGUUUGACUUACAGAUGCUUCAUUGUUAUUGUGGUACUCACUUGGUUGAUCGACUGCUAAAAUUCAGAUUUUUUCUAUGUGGCGCAGAAGAAUUAUAGAAGUAUUCCUCAUGAGAUGAUCGUGCAUGAGAGAUGUAUUAGACAUUCGAGUGGUGGAUUUGGGAUCAGCUAUGGUGAUUCGUGUGUUCUAUGGAUUUGGAGAUUGAGAGUUCUUAGAAUAAGAUUGUUUCGUAGUUGUGGAAUGUGAAGAUGUGGCCAAUGUUAGCCAGAUGGUAGUAUGUGUUGUGGUUAGGUCAUUGUGGACUUUCGGAGGGCUAUUUAUCUAUUUGUGGAUGACCAAGGUUGAUUUGGGGUCUCAUUGGUAGGCCUAAUGAGGAUGUGUAUUCUACAUCGGGUCGAAUUGGUUGACUCCGUACUACUAUUAUUGAGGGAUUUGCCAUUCGGUUAGAAUUGAUCUUAUUUGUAUCUGAUAUGUUCUAUGUGUUACUCUUCUAUGCUACGAUGGGUUGUGAUUUGUUGGUUACUUGCACAUUAUAUGCGUUUCUGUUUAGGCCAUGCAGUGUAAUUCGAGCGAGAUGGUUAUUGGGGUGUUGAAUGGCUGAUUGUGCCUUGGUUAUGGUCUUUCCUAUUGGUGGUAUAUUGUGAUAUCCGUUUCUCCAUGGUGAUGAUCAUGCACUUCGUGUAUUUGAUGUCGAAUUGCGUGUAGUUAUUGAUUUAGAGAAUUAUGGCUUGCGGUAUUUUAUAUGGACCGGUGUUUGGAUAGGGCCACGUAUUGCAAUGGGGUUAUGUUGGGAUAUGAUCCUUUGUGAUAGAUUUGUGUGUAUUGGUUCUACUAUGUGUGACGGGUUCAUAGCAAUGCAUUUGUAGUGGUACUUGUUGAGCUUGUCGGACGAUUCUCUCAUUUGGAUCAUUUUCCAUAUUUGAGUACAUUUGAAUUAUUGCUUGUUGGUGCACAAAUUGCAUGGUUGUGACUUUAGGUUGUAUUGGUGUGGCAUGUCAAUAGAAUAGUUGUGUUUGAUGAGAUAAGGCCAUUGGAUCUAGAAUGGAUACUAUCAGAUUUGAUUAGGAUACUAUCAGAUUUGAUUACGGUAUGUCUAGAAGAGUAAUAUCGGAAGUUGGCUAAGAAUUUGGCUUUGGUUCUUAUCAGAUGAGUGAGAGAGCUCCAUGACUUAUUUAUCUGAUGAGUGGUUAUGAGUUUUUGCGUGUUUCAUUCAUCAUCGGCAGUGUACGAAGGUUUUGAAUGAGGUUUUAUUUGAUAUGAGGCUUAUUACUGGUAUUGGGUUUAUUUUGAGCAGCUACUAUGAUCGGGAAUUAUUGCUAUGAGUAUGCGAGUUAUGUGGUAUAUUAUGUGAUUAUAUCUUCGGUUAUGGAUAUGAAUUGAUACAACUUGUUCGGACUUAUACAGUGUGUAGGUACGAGAUUCAGGUCUUAUAAGGAAUUUCGGAUGUUGGAAAUUAGGUUCUAAGGCUUACGAACUAAGGUUAAAGUAAUGAUCUUCACUUAUGUUGUGUUUGUCAGGCUUACAUGGAUUGGGGUGACGUGGGAUCACCCCCGGGUAUGUGCAUGGUAAGGUUACGCGGCGAUUUGAUUGCUUUGGAUUGACUCUGGGCACGUUCGAGGACGAACGUAUGUUUAAGUGCGGAAGAAUAUAACGACCCGAUAGGUUGUUUUCAGCAUUUGCAUUCCGUUCGGCCAUUUGAAGUCUUGAGUAGCUUCAUAUGAUGUAUUAUGACCUGUGUGAAUCGUCGGUUUUGGUUUUCAAAUUAAUCGGAAUUGAUUUGGGAGAAAGAUUCUCAACUAGGAAGCUUUAAGUUGGAAGAGUUGACAAAAUUUGAUUUUUGAGUAUUUGACCUCGGAUCAGAGUUUUGAUGGUUCUGUUAGAUCCAGAUGGUGAUUUUAGACUUGGGCCUCUGACCAGAUUUGCAUUUGGAUAUUCCUAGAAGGUUUCGACACUAUUUGACAAAGUUGGCAAUUUAAAGAUUUGGAAUAUUUAUAUGUUUGACCGGGAGUUGACUUUGAUGAUAUCGGGUUCGGAUUGUGAUUACAGUAAUUGGAAUAGCUUCUUUAUGUCAUUUAGGAGUUGUGUGCAAAAUUGGAGUUCAUUCCGAGUUGAUUUGAUAAGGUUCGACAUGGGUUUUGGAAGUUGAAAGAUUCAAAGUUCAUUAAGUUUGAUUUGAGGCGCGAUUCAGGAUUUUGAUGUUAAUAUGUGUGAUUUGAGGCCUCGAGUAGGUCCGUAAUAUGUUUUGAGACUUGUUGGUGUGUUCGGACAGGGUCCUGAGGGACUCUAGUGAGUUUUGGGGUGGUUUCGGACCAUUUUUAGGCCAUUUUUAGUUGUUGUUUUUAGCUACAAUAGUGUACAUCACGAUCGUGGACUUUGGGUCGCGUUCGCAAAAAGAAAAAUGGGAAAAGGCGCCUGUGAUUCACUUUCGCGGAGAGAUCAUCGCGUUCGCGAAGAAGAAAUUCUGCUGUCACUAAUCCAACUUGGAAGCUUAUAUCGUGCAAUCUAUAAGAAAUUUGAAGAUGACCCAAAAAUAAAAGUUGUAGCCCUUGGCUCUAGUUUUCAGAAAAUCAAACCAUUUGUCAUUUGGAGUUUUGUAAAAAAAGUUAUGGCUAUUAUACUAGAGGCAGUCUGGAAGAGUUGGGCAAGCUUGUUGGAAUUUGUUCAUCGCGAUCGUGGGGAAAUGGUCGCGACUGCGAAGGGUAAAAGUUGAGCUGGAAUUUUUUUGGAAUCGCGAUGCACACCGCAACAUGUCAUGUUGGCUUAUAUUAGCGCUUGGGCAGGAUCUGCCGCUCCGGAGUCUGACAUUCCAGCAGUGAGCGCAGGUACGAAUGAGUGUGAGUGCCGAGUGACUGAGUGAUUGAGAGUAUUGAGUGAUUGGGAGGUGCUGAGUAAUUGAGCGUACUGAGUGAGGUUGAAUACUCUGAGAGUAUGAGCACAUAAGUUUAUUACUGUGGUACAUUAUAUUUGACAUGCAUACUUGGCAUGUAGGCAUAGAAAUGCAUUUCCUCAUGCUAUACGAUAUUGUGACAUUCAUGACUUCUCAUACACAUUGACAUGUAGGUAUAGAGAUGUACUUUUCUCAUGCUAUCUGAUAAUGGAGCAUCUUGUCUGUUGUUGAAAGCUUUUGGGAAAAAUCACAGUUUUUCUGACAUACUCACAUUUUGGUGAGUUCGGUGAAAGAUUUAGGUUUUACUAUUAUACCUGAAAAGCAUGCCUAUUUUUCGUAACUAUGAACGAGUUGAGCAUCAUAUCUUUGAGUUUACUUAUACUGUUUCAUUAUAUUGUUACGAGUUAUUCUUGGCUGUUAGUGUAGGACUCUGACGUUGUCCAAGCUCGUCAAUACUUUUAACCUAAGGUUAGGUCUGUUACUUAUUGAGUACAUGGGGUCGAUUAUACUCAUACUACACUUCUGCACCUUACGUGCAGAUUUUGGAGCUGAUUUUGCUGUGUAUGGCGGGAGAUGGCAUUGAAGAUGUAUCAGUGUUCCUGUUGUAGCUGCCUCUUGUUCAUGGUAGCUUUAGAUUUAUAAAAAUCUAUUUACGUACAAUUCAAAGAUGUAUUUAUUUCAUACCAGUUUUGUAAACUCUAAAUCUUAGAAGCUCAUGAUUUGUACUACCAAUCCUUAGGAGUUUUGUAUAAAAGUUCAGUUAUAUCAUCAUUUAUUUUCUCAGUAGAUCUCCUUGAGUUGGAUAAUUGAUAAAUUGGCUUACCUAGCAGGUUGAGUUAGGUGCCAUCAUGACUAAUUAGAUUUUGGGUCGUGACAAGGUCACUUCGCUGCAAGUUCGAGAUCCUUUAGACAUGAUCUCCCAGAACCCUGAGGACAAGGUUCUUGUCGGGGAAGAGAUUAAUGUUACACCUGUGAGUGGGCUUAACCCAAAUAAAAUAGACAAUCAACAAGACUUGGAUAGUGUUGGGCCAAUAAACUCUGUUAGACGAAGUGGUCGGGUCAAAAAGCCCUCUUAGAAAUUAACUGACUUUAUAUGGAAAAGCAAUAUGGGGAAAUUGUUAUUUAGUGAGUAGUGGAUAUUGGAAUUGGGUGGAAAAAGUUAAAGAAAUUUCCCUAUUCUCUUUUAUCCUCUAUGUAAUUCUUCUUAACUUCUUUUCCUCUUUCAAUCUUUCCUCUUUCUGAAUCUUUUUCAUAUCUGGUAUUAUUAUUGUAAUUGUUAUUUGUCAGUUUAUGAAUUAAAUCUAGACCUUCCUAUUAUUACGUUGUUCUGUUAAAUUGCGUUAUAAAAAUAUCAAACGGCUGAUCCAAGGCUUAAUAUAAGAAGUCUUUGAAUGGAUAUAGAGAAUAAGAGAAGACAACAAACCUCGCGUAAGUUUAAACCUGAAAAGGAUCCUCGCAAAUGACAUUGCUGGAGGAUCGUUGUCCAGCAAUUAUUGAAAUUCGCUUAUGUAUCAGGUCAUAAUACCACUUCCACCAAGUUUAUAUUUUUGCGGGGGUUGACUUUUGGGUCAAGGGGGGUUACCUUUCCCAGUCAAAAAGUGAGGGGUAUUAUUUUCUUACUCUAAAAGCUUAAGGGGGACAAGAUGGAAUUUACUCUUUUAUAUGUGUCUUAAGACUUGGGAGCUAAACUUUCGUCGUCACCCCUCAAGUUAUUAUAUUGUUACCUUUUGAUGUAGGUUCUACUUUUAUCUGCACUUCCGUCCCAAUUAUAUUCAACUCUCAAAUUGAUGACUAUUUUAAUAUAUUUGUUAAUCAAUUAGCUUAUAGUUAAUGUAAACCUAAAGACAUAGCCAAAGACGUAAAGAACAACAUUUAAGAGUUAAGACUCAAAUUUUGACUCGGCUCGACUUAGUGCUGUUGAAGUUCGAUUAAGUUUAGGUUCGACUCAAUUUGGCUCUACUUGAGUCUGGAUGCGAAUUCAAGAUUUUAAGUUUAUGAAUUCUAGAUCUAUUAUUUUUUUAAAAUUAUUUAUUAGAUUCUAGAUAAUUUAUUUAUAUAUAUUAAGUGAAUUUCCUAAUACUUUGAGUCAAAGCUACCGAAUUAACCGAUCACGUAACUUCCAAGUUAAAUUUGCCCCUGCACUUGACAUUUGAACCUACUAGCAACUUGACAUUUGAACCUACUAGCAACUUGAAUUCUAUUUACUCAAAGUUCUAUUUGUUUUGAUAAAAAAUAUGAAAUAUUAUCAUAGACAAAAAAAUAAUAUAUCUAAAGAGCAUCAUACGCUUUGAUUACUUUUUAGGAAAGAUCGUCGAGUACAUAUGACCUCAAGUAAGACGAAAUUCUAAUUUUAUCAGAUCUUUCUUUCUCCUCUUUUUCCCAUCUUUAGACCUUUACAACUCGAACAAAAAAAGAUGAUCGAUCCAAUUGCACAUAAGUACUUGCUUGUUUCAGCAUUGGCCUUUAGUUACUUUCUUAGGAUCGAUUCAUUAGUUGGUUAAUGUUAGUAUCAUGGUUCAUUAUUUUUGUUCUUUAUGAAAAAUAAAAUUAGUAGUAAAGUUAAAGCUAUGCAACUAUUAACACGGUUAAUCAAGAAUAAGAGUAGCUAUUGCAGUCCUUUCAUUUUCGGUUGAGCAACGUAAAGAAACUACGGAUUACCAUCUACUCAUCUAGCAAUUAAAAAGAUUCAUAGCGACUAGAGAAAUCUAUUUUGUACCACAAAUCGAAUUAACCAUAUACUUUUCUGAUUUCUCACCCGGUGUUCGGAACUCUUUGGGCCCGUAAAUUCAAAGUUGCACCACAUAGAACUAUUAAAAACGAAUAGCUCCCUAAUCCCUACUUAAGAUUGUUUUAUUCUAAGGACUCGAAUCCUUAUCCAUCUGGUUAAGGAUGGAAGGUCUAUUAAAGAAGGAUCUUAUUACAUAGUUCUGCAAAUAUAAAAAAAUAAAAAGACUAGAAAGAAAAAUGAAAUCAUCAUAGACAACUAGUUUAUUAAAGUAAUAUAAAGGAGUAGAAGGCAGCUUGGAAUAUAGAGGGAGACGUAGACAUCUUGGGGAAGAAAAUAUCAAGUUGCGUUAAAGAAGUAGCACCAAAAGUGCUAGGUGUGUCUAAAGGUCCAGGACCUCGCCCACAUGAAUUCUGGUGGUUGAAUAAGGAGGCACAAAGAGUUAUUAAACCUAAAAGAGAGUGUUAAGCAGAAGACGAAAACGACUUUAAAGAAUACAAGAGAGCUAAGAAGGAAGCUAAGAAGGUUAUUAGUAAAGAUCGAGAGAGAAAAUGGCUUGUACCAAAAGCUAGGGACGCAAGAAAGAGAGAAAAACUAUUUAAAAUAGCAAGACCGAAAAAGAAGAAGGGUAAAAAAAUUAAAACAGGCGAAGUAUAAUAAGGAUGAUCUCAACCAGUAUUGAUAGGAGAUAAUGAGAUCAAUGAGUGGUGGAGAGGAUAUUCUGAUUAAUUGCUUAGCUUGAACCAAGAGAAUAAUAUUUUAGACAUGCAGACGUCUGUAUGCGAUAGAAAAUUAAGCUAUAUCGAAAUAGGCCGACAGAGAUAAUGUAUGCCAUGAAAAUAUAAAGAUUAGAAAAGUUCGGGGUCUAAAUAGUAUUCUUGUAGAGGUUUGGAAAUAUCUUGAGGAGGUUGGAGUAGAAUGGCUUACCAAGCUAUUUAAUGUAUACUAAGAAGUGGUACGAUACCCAAAAAGUGGAGUAAGAAUACCCUGACACCUAGUCUCUAAAACGAGGUAAGUCUAACAUAUAUUGAAAGAUAGCAGAAACAAUAACUUAAACAUCAAUUAAACUAUUAAACUAUCAUAAUAAACCCCAAUAGAUACAACUGACAAAUAACUCGCAGAAUCUGGUAGAACUGAGUCAUAAGCUCUACAACGAGCGCAUUAAAAUUUUCAAAAUACAAUACUGUUUUGAAUAGGAAAUAAACAAUAGAACAUCUAAAUAUAGAAGGUAAUUUCGAGGCCUGCGAAAUAUUGAACAUGUAUAUCUUGAAGUCUCCGAAAAUAGCUAAUCAAUCACUGGCGUCCAGCAUGGGUAAAUGUACCUGGAUCUGCACAAAUAUGUGCAAAAGUGUAGUAUGAAUGCACCAUAAUGGCACCCAGUAAGUGUCAAGACUAGCCUUGGUAGAAUAGUGACGAGGCCAGGUCAAGAUACCUACUAGGAUAAAAACAUUAAACAGAAUAUAGUAUAAUCUAAUAAUGGAAAGCGAGGAAGUAAAUGAAAAAUAGGCAGUUCAAUAAUGUAAGUUAACAACGGAAAUUUAAACGGUAAAGGAAACAAGCAGUGAACACAUGAUGAAACAACGAGUAGUCAACAAAGACUAUUACAAGUACGACAAAUGAAGAAAAUAACAAGAACUGCUCAACCAACAAGCCUCUUUUAGCAUGGAAUUUACAACAAGAAUAACAACAGAGGUUCUACCUUAUAUUCACAUUUCACAAUUUCAAUCACAAUCUUUCCUUAUAUCACCAUGUGAGCCUUGCAUUUAUUUUUGAAAAUAUCUUUCCGAAAUGGUUACACAUAUUUUAGUCCCCUUAUCUCACCGCGUGGCUUCAAGUAAUUCUCUUACUAGCAACACGCGUAUAAAUUUCUACCUUAUCUCACUGCAUGUGUAUCAACCCCUCUCCUUAUACCACCACAUGCGUAUCAAUAUCACAACACAAUAAUCAACUCGCACCACAUGUGCCCAUACACCACAACACUUGUCAAAAUCAACAAUACCAAUGUUACCACAACGUAGAGCCCAUGGCUAAAUCAAAAUGUGCACAAGAAUCUCAAUAACAACAAAAUAAAUGAGAAAUACUCAACAAUUAACAUCUUCAACCUCAACCCAUGGCUUCAACAACUUUAAUAUCAAUGACCCAACAAGAAGAUAUUUCACGAAAUAACAACUUCAAGUAAGCGUAAUUUAACAAUAAAAGAGUAAAAAAAUAAAAAGAGAAGUAGUAACUUCAACUAAAGCAUAUGAGAGCAAUUACAACUACAAAAGGUAGGACAAUUAAUAACAACGUGAAUUAGAGCAUGUGAGAGGAAAUUUGACAAUGAAAGAUGUAACAUGUUAUAACAAAUUUAAUUAAAUGCAUGGAAGAAGUCUAAAAGUCUAAACUGGUCAAUUUAGCACAAACAAGCCAAAUCCUAAGGUAUAGUUUCUCCUACACAAAGUUAGGCAAGAUACUCACCUCAACUAGGCCAAAUCAACCCUCGAAUAUAGCUUUUCCCCUAAAAGUCUCCUCCACAUGGAUCAAAUCUAACAAAAGUGAAUUAAUAUCAUCAAACAAUGCAAGAAAAAUCAAUUACAAUAGAUAAGGCUAUGGUCUUUACAUAUUUUCCCAAAAGUCAACAAAAGUUAAUCUCGGGCUCGUCCGAUCGAAAUUCGAGUCCAAAUCCGACUACUCAUUACUCCACGAGUCCAUAUAUGUGUUUUAUUUUCAAAUCCGAGUCCAAAUUGACUCUCAAAACUCAAAUCUUUAUUUUUUAAAACUUUGAAAAAAAUAACUUAUCCAAUAUUUGUAGAUGAAAAUUCCCUCUCCAAAUCGCCUCCUACCAAGUCUAGGGUUCUAAGAUAUGAAAAAUGAGACCUAAAUCCCGACUCCUACCCCUUUUCAUUAGCUGCAGGUAUCGCAAAUGUGACCUUGAGUUCGCAUUUGCGAACCCUCACAAUUAUGGAACAGGGAUCGCAAUUGCGAACCCUGACAGCCUCUUCAAAUGUUGCAAUUGCAACAAAGGCUUCGCAAUUGCGAAGUUGCCAUCUUUGCAAAAGUGACCAAAUGGCCGUAAAUGCGACCCAACUCAAGCCUAAACUGACUUCACAAAUACAAAGGGGGAAGUCGCAUUUGCGAAAUCUGACCUCCCAUGCCCACUUUGCAAUUGCAAGGCUGGUGCUCACAAUUGCGAUAUCAGAGCACCAGCACACAAGCAGUCUUGUUUUCAGUCAAAACCAUUUUGAAACGCGUACGAAACUCAUCCGAGCCCUCGGAGCACCAAACCAAAUAUCCACCAAGUCUAAUAACAUCAUACGAAUUUGCUCGUGCUAUCAAAACACAAAACUAACAUCUGGAAGUACGAAUCGGACAUCAAAACGCAUGAAUUUCAAAGAAAAGUUCAAGAACCUUUAGAAUUACAACCAAGUGUCUGAAUCAUAUCAAAUCAACUCCAAAUGACACCAAAUUUUGCAGACAAGUUCUAAAUAAGAUAAUAGACAUAUUUCAAGUCCCAAAUCCAAAUUCUGAGCCCGAUAGAUAAAAUUCAACCUGCGGUCAAACUUGAGAAAUCUUCUAAACCUCAAAUUGCCAACUUUCGACAAAACAACACAAGUCAACCUACGAACCUCCGAAUUCAAUUCCGGGCAUACGCCCAAGUCUAAAAUUAUGAUACGAACCUAUUGGAGCCAUAAAAAUACCGUUCCGGGAUUAUUUUCACAAAAGUCAAACUUUAGUCAAUAUUUCUAACUUAGGCUUCUGAAUCAAGAGCCAAAGGGUCCAAUUCAACCCAAAAAUUUCCCAGAACGAAACUAGCCAACCCUAUAAGUCAUAAAGCCAAAAUUACACAUUUGAAUCAUCAAAAGGGAUAACAGGACGCAAAUACACAACAUGAUUGAUCGGGUCGUUACAUAUUCACAGUUGUUCGAACUAUCAUGGCAUUAAACUCAUGAGUCAUACAAUAAAACUUUAGGAAAGAUUGAUAGAGAAUAGACUUAGGAACAUGAUAAGAUUGACAAUAGACCAUAUUCUUUAAGAAGAUUGAUGAAAAUUUAGCAUGAAAGGAAGAAAUAUUUACACAACAAUAAUAACGAACUCAGUAUAUUAUCAUUGGUGGGGUCUAAGGAGGGUAGUGUGUAUGCUAACCUCACUCCUACCUAGGGAAGGUAGAGAGGAUAUUUUCAAUAGACCCUCGGCUCAAAAAAAGUGAGAUGAAAAAGAAUUAAAGAAAAAGAAGUACCAAACAAUAGCAACAAGGAAAUACGAUAACUGAAGCGAACUAAACAACAUGACGUAAUAUAGAUCUAAGAAUAUAAAUGUACAUGAGUGCUACUAGUAAUUCUGGUAAGAAAAAGGAAAAUUUUCAACUACCUACCAACUUUCUGCCCUAAUUCUCGACCUCCACACCCUCCUAUGAAGGGUUAUGUCCUCAGUAAGCUGAAACCGAACCAUAUCCUUCCUAAUCAUCUCUCCUCAGUACUUCUUUGGCCUACCUCGACCUCUUCUUGUCCAGGAGCAUCAAUACUUCUCCUCUUAACGUGCUCGAACCAUCUUAGCCUCGACUCUCGCAUCUUGUCCUCUAAGGAGGCCACUCCCACUUUGUCCCGAAUAAAUUCAUUCUUAAUAUUAUAUCUCCUGGUACACCCACCCAUCCAUCUCAACAUCCUCAUUUCUGUUACUUUCAUUUUCUGAAUAUGAGAGUUCUUGACUGGCCAUCAUUCAGCCCCAUACAAUAUAGUUAGUCCAACCACCACUCUGUAGAAUUUACCCAUAAGUCUUGGUAGCAUAUUCUAAUCACAUAAAACACAGAUAUAAACCUCUAUUUCAUCUAUCGCUCUCCAAUAUAAUGUGUGAUAUCCUCUUCAAUCUCCCUACUACCUUAGAUUAAAGACCCAAAAUACUUAAAACUAUCUCUCUUGGGGAUAACUUGAGUAUCAAGCUUCACAUCCACGUCUGCUUCAUGAGUUCCAUCACUAAAUUUGCACUUCAAGUAUUCUAUUUUGGUCCUGCUCAACUUGAAACCUUUAUAUUUCAAGGUCUGUCUCCACAUCUCCAGCCUUGGGUUAACCUUGCCCCGCGUCUCGUCAAUCAACACUAUGUCAUCAAUAAAUAACAUGCAUUGUGGAACCUCCCCUAGGAUGUACGGCCUCAGCAUGUCCAUCGCCAAGGUAAAUAAAACAGGCUAAGAGUCGAUCCCUGGUGCAACCCCAUCAUAACUGGAAAGUGUUCUGAGUUACCUCCCACAACCCUCACCCGAGUCUUGGCACUACCAUAUAUAUCCCUAAUCACCCUAGUGUAUGCUACCGGAAUGAUGCUAACCUCCAAACACCUCUACAUAAUCUCCCUCGGGACUUUAUCGUAUGUUUUUUCAAGAUCAAUGAACAUUAUAUGCAAGUCCUUCUUCCUUUCUUUAUACUUCUCCACUAACCUCCUCACUAGAUCAAUAGCUUUUGUAGUCGAAGGCCUUGGUAUUAAUCCGAACUAAUUCUCGCAAAAUAGACACUCCUCCUCACACUGACUUCCACUACCAUCUACCAAACCUUUAAAGUGUGACUCAGUAGUACUAUACCCAUAUUUUGGAUAUCUCCCUUGUUCUUGUAUAAUGGAAUCAUUGUACUUCACCUCCAUUCUUCGGGCAUUUUCUUCGUUUUAAAAAUGAUAUUAAACAACCUAGUAAGCCACUUCAAACCCACGCUUGGCUUGCGUUCUUCCAAAAUUCUACCGGAAUUUGUCUGGCCUAGUCGCUCUACCCCUGCUCAUCUUACGCAUCACCCCCUCAUCCUCAUCUAUCUUAAUAUGUCUACAAUACCCAAGUCAUACCGACUCUUGGAGUGCUCCAAAUCACCUAGCACAAUGCUUCUGUCUCCAUCCUCGUUCAACAGUUUAUGGAGUAGUAAGUCUAUCAUCUCCGUUUAAUAUGUGCCUCUUCCAUCAAUACGCAUUUAUUGCCCUAGAAAAAACAUAUGAUAGGAUUCCACACAAGGUAUUUUAGUGGGUGAUGGAGAAGAAAGAAAUUCAUAUUAAAUAUAUAAAUAUCAUAAAGAACAUGUAUGAAUGAGUCGUCACUAGCAUGAAAACUGUAGUAGGAGAUACAAAUGAGUCUUUUUAUAUAUAAUAGUGGGUUCAGCAAGGUUCGACAUUGAGCCUCUAUUUAUUUAACCUAGUCAUGAAUGAUCUAAUGAAUGUAAUACAACAUAAGGUCCUAUGGUGUAUGCUAUUUGCUGAUGACAUUGUGUUAAUUGACGAAACUAGUGAAGGUAUCAACCAAAAGGUUGAGCUAUAGAGAAACACCUUGCAGAGUAAAGGCUUUAGGAUAAGUAAAAGUAAGACUGAAUACAUGUAAUGCAAGUUUAGUCAACAUGAGAAAAAUAAAAUUAGUGGUGAGCCUAGAUGAGAUUACGGUACCAAAAUAAAAAUAAUUUAGAUAUCUAGGCUCGUUGUUUCAAGAGAAUGGAAUGGUAGAUAGAGAUACCCAUAGGAUUAAAACCUAAAUGUUAAAAUAGAGAAAUUGGGGUGUUAUGUGAUAUAAGAAUUCAUACUAAUGCGAAAGGUAAGUUCUAUAGAACAAUUAUAAGACCAUCAAUGUUAUAUGGUUCUGAAUAUUGGGCUGCUAAAUCCAACAUAUCCACAAGAUGAAUGUUGCAGAGAUGCGAAUGCUAAGAUAUAUUUGCGGUCACACAAGAUUAGAUAAUAUUAAAAAUGAUCAUAUUCUCCAUAAGAUGCAAGUAGCACACAUUGAGAAUAAAUAAGAGAAGAUCGCUUGAAUUGGUUUGGUGAUGUCUUGAGUCACCCUACAGAUGCACCGUCGAUAGAUAUGAAAAUAUGGUGAAUGAAGUUGUUACAAAGGAAUGAGGUAGACCCGUAAUCACAUGUAAGCAAUUUGUCUCAAAAGACCAACAAAUCCUUGGAAUCAAUGCAAACUUAGCUAAAGAGAUGACACAAUAGAAUAAGAAGGUCCAUAUAGGCGAUACUUACUAGUUAGAUAUAAGCUUUAAAUUUAUUAGAGAACUUUUAAUAUUAAAUAAUAUUUUUAUNNNNNNNNNNNNNNNNNNNNNNNNNAUAUAUAUAUAUUCUUUUACUACUACAUUUAUUUUAUUUUGAUAUGAUGAUAGUAUGAGUUAAAUUUAAAGAAAACAGUAAAAAAUUCAUAUCAUCGACAUAAUUUUAUUUGAAACAGAGACAUAAUUAUUGUUGUUGUUGUAGAUUUUCCUUAAUUAAAAUGACUAGAAAAACAAAAGAGAUAAGUAAGAUUCUCGGCACCAAUUCAACAACGGUUAUCAUUUUAAGAGAGGUUGUUGUGGGCUUCUUGUCUUAUAUGCAAUUUGACGAUUGUCACAUUCGCUGUGGUUUUAUGAUAUUAGUAUGGAACUCGUACGAUGUAUGUAUAAUAUUAAAAACUAUUAAUCAUAUCGAAUUAUGAUCUACCUUAUUUGAGUAUAUUAGAGAUAACAUUGCUUUAAUAAAAGAAUAUUAAUCAUGACGAGAUGUGGUAUAACUUAUUUGAAAAAAUGAGAGAUAAUGUUGCUUUAAUAAAAUUUAACUGGCAUCUCGUUUAUCAAAGCAAUAUAGCCAAUAAAAUAAUUUCUAUAAAAUUAAUAAAGCAAAUCAAAUAGUCAUGAAAUCAUUUUUAUUCUUUAUUUUUUCAUCAUCCAAUCUACAGCAAAUCAAAUGAAAUCUGAAAAGAAGUGAACACUUUGCUAGGAACGAAGUUUCGUAUUUUAUUAGAUUAUCUUUUUUAGGUCAAACAAUAAAAAAUUUAUUCAACCAAGUGUAUACAUGUACAUACUCUAGUCCUUUUGUACUCUACGACUAGCCCUCUUUAGUCAAUACCUAUCUAAGUAGAAUACCAAUUAUACAGGGGAAACUAAAGAAAUUGCUACUUUUAUAUAGGAAAACAAUUCAGACUCUCUAAUAUUUUCAGCCAUUUAUGACAUCUCUGCCCUCUAGUAUGCAACUGGAGGACAAUUUCUCGCAAUUUUUAUGCACUCUCUUGCUUUUCCUGUUGGAACCUUCGAGCAUUUAGUUCAUGCCAGACAUGAUAUACAGUACCGGCAAACAACCAUCUCAAAAUUUCUUGUUUAGCUCUACAGCCCCGCAUUCUUUUAGCCAUCCAGUCUAUUUCUUCAUUCCAUGUCUUUACCUUCCUGGGCUCUCCUAUCCAUCGUAGUAAGGUAGACCAUAUAUGUCUUGAAUAGUUUACAACCAAAGAACAAGUUUGUAAAGGUUUCAUCCUCAUUUGAUUGCAUAAAAUACAUUCUUUAGGAACAUGACCCCCCUACCUUUCCAGUCUAUCAAUUGUAGCCAAUCGUUGUCGAACUGCAAGCCAAAGGAUAAAUUGAUGUCUUGGUAUCAACUGCGUUCCCAUAGUGAGGUUUUUUCAAGGGACCUUUUGGUACUAUGGACAGAGAGAUAAAUAUGCUUUCUUGAUGCUGAAUCCUUCCUUAGUAGCACACUGCUGGAGUUCCACUGCGUUCCCAUAGUGAGGUAUUUCCAUGGGACCUUCAGAUACUUAGUCCCCAAGUUUUACCCCAUACAACCUCCACACACCCCACUUACAUUUUACACUAUACAAAAAGAAACACAUUUUUACAUCUGUCGCCAACCCCUUUUAUCAUCUCAUCCCUCUUAACUUUUGAGAGACCAAGACAGCCGCCCAUCACUCUCUCUUUCUCAUUUUAGAGAGACCAUCAGCUCUCUCAACUCCCAUGACUGUAGUCCUCUUGCCGUCUGCCGGAGUUCAUCACCGGCGAUGGCUGGCAACAACCCCUCUUCUUCUUUACUGUUUUCUCUCAUCUCUCUUUCUCUCUUAUGCUACUGUCAUUCGCUGGCUGGAACUCAGACCACUGUCGUCGACGACUCUUCGAUUUCUCUUCGUUGUGCUUAGAUCUUGUUAGAUCUAGCCGACCUUUGUAGGUUAUAGAUCGAAUCUGGCCAGAGACAUUUUUUCUCGAUGAUUUGUUUUGAGACUCCAUAUUUUUCGGCGACCCAUGUGUUUACCGGCGAUUGCAUAUGUUUUGCUGUUAUUUCCAGUGAGCUCAAUGUUUUUUGGUAACUUCCAUGCUUUCCGGCAGCCGGCAUUUUUGAGAUCUACCAUGGAAAUGCCUAUGACAACAAGCUAAAGCUUCGUUGCAAUGUUAUUUUCAUUCUGACCUUCCAGAUCUGGCCGGAUAUUUCGGACGAAGCUAAAAGCUUAAAUUCCGACAUUCAUUUGUCUUGGUUCUAACUCCAGUAUCUGAUAUUCAUUUUUCUUGGUUCUAGAAAAGGUUUUUCAUCUUUGUUCUUUGAUGAUUAUCUUAUAUUGGGUCUUUAUUACUGUAGAUGUGCUUUUGGGUCUAUGUUGGCGGCUUUGUUACUCUCACGACCCCAAAUUCCCUCUGUAGGAAGUCGUGACGACACUUACUCUCUAAAAUUAGGUAAGCUUAUCAAUAUGCGGAAUAAUUGAAAUAACAACUAAUAAUCUUAAAACUUCAACAAUUGCAUAAAUAAAAUCGGUAACUCAAAUUGUACAAAUCUCCAAAACCUGUUGAAGUAUAAGUCACAAGAUCUAGUAAUAAUUCUGAACAAUUUUAUACAUCACUGUCUAAGAUAAUGUAAUGAAAUAAGAAAAAACAGGAUAGAAUGGGAC
Molecule: long non-coding RNA, 24323 nt
Filed under: Nicotiana tabacum (common tobacco)
Lineage: Eukaryota; Viridiplantae; Streptophyta; Magnoliopsida; Solanales; Solanaceae
Description: long non-coding RNA (NTAB_LNC015130)
Source: RNAcentral